CAGGAUGCACGCUGGCGGCGUGCUUAACACAUGCAAGUCGAACGGGAAUGCCACGCUGAUGCGAUUUCGGUCAAAUCAUGUGGCAUUCGAGUGGCGGACGGGUGAGUAACGCGUGGGUAACCUGCCUUACACAGGGGGAUAACACCUGGAAACAGGUGCUAAUACCGCAUAAGCGCACAGGGCCGCAUGGCCCGGUGUGAAAAACUCCGGUGGUGUAAGAUGGACCCGCGUCUGAUUAGCUUGUUGGCGGGGUAGGGGCCCACCAAGGCGACGAUCAGUAGCCGGCCUGAGAGGGUGGACGGCCACAUUGGGACUGAGACACGGCCCAAACUCCUACGGGAGGCAGCAGUGGGGGAUAUUGGACAAUGGGGGAAACCCUGAUCCAGCGACGCCGCGUGAGUGAAGAAGUAUUUCGGUAUGUAAAGCUCUGUCAGCAGGGAAGAAAGAAAUGACGGUACCUGACCAAGAAGCCCCGGCUAACUACGUGCCAGCAGCCGCGGUAAUACGU
This 508-nucleotide ribosomal RNA is filed under the name uncultured bacterium. Its description in RNAcentral is "bacterial SSU rRNA". It matches the Rfam family "Bacterial small subunit ribosomal RNA", at positions 25 to 528 of the family's 1533-position model. The record is from RNAcentral.